GUUUUACUCAAAUAAUGAUUCUUGGGCCAUCUGCCUCAGAGUCUGUGGAGAUAAGUUCCGAAAAUCUGCAUUUUAAAUAAGCUGGAGCGCAUUUGAUCAGAGCCGGCUGUGAUUUUUUGCGGCUGCCUGGAUUACUGGGACUGAGGUUCACCAGACAGACAGAUGCUAGUCAGUGCGAUCCUACAGUGUUCAAGCUAGGGUACAGAAGACAUGCCCAACAAAAACUUCCUGAAUCAAUGAAGUGAGAGGUGAUAUCAGAAGACAAGCCCAAAGUGAGAUGGGAAGCCAUUCCUGAUGACCUAAUCUACAGAAUGAAACCCCUCCCCCAUUGUUCUAUUUCAUAGCACCCUGUUCACAGUUUGUAAUUGUACACUCACCAGGUUGUUUACUUGAUUGACGGCUGUCUUCCUCGUGGAUCAUGAACUCUGUGAAAGCGGGAAUCAGAGCUGUUUUGCAGCAUGCCCAACAUCUAGGGGAGUACCGGGAAGCAGGAGGCAUUCAGUAAAUACUGAUGGAGUCAAUGUAUUAUACAUUAUAUUAUCUUAUAUAUAUAUUAUGCAAUAUAUAAUGUAUAUGUUCUAUGGAGUAAAUAUUAUGGAG
This 600-nucleotide long non-coding RNA is filed under the name Equus caballus (horse). Its description in RNAcentral is "lncRNA (ENSECAG00000042683.2)". The record is from RNAcentral. Lineage: Eukaryota; Metazoa; Chordata; Mammalia; Perissodactyla; Equidae.